AUGGAUAUGGAACACGAAACACCAAAAAAAUUAGUUGUACUUGCUACUCAUGGAGAUGGGGAACCUCCUAAAACCCUCAAUGCUCGUUAUGUGAAAAAUAUUUUGCACUACUUUGAUAAUCCUGAGAAAACCCCAUUCAACUUGAUAAUGGGAGUAACGUUGGAUCAACGUGAAUACUUUAGAGAUUAUCGCUUGACACAAAAAGGGAAAUUGUUACGGGAUCAAAUUUAUAUGUUGCAUUGGCAUGCUCGGGAUUUAUGCUUGAGAUAUGAUUAUACUUGUUGCUCUAGGAUGAACGCUCCACACCUUCCCUUUUCAUGCAAAUUUAAUGAUAAUGAAACCUUAGCUUCUUAUGCUAAUGGUAUAUAUGAUUACUAUGAUGUGGAACGAAUAGAAGAAUUUGUUGCUUUUAAGGGUGCUUAUGAAAUUGAAUCUUUGUUUAUAAAGUAUGAAGCUUUUGAUGAUGAUGUUUAUAGACCUGAAAAUUUUGCGAUCCUUAAAUAUUGCUAUGAUAAUUACAAAUAA
RNAcentral lists this ribosomal RNA (525 nucleotides) under Triticum aestivum (bread wheat). Its description in RNAcentral is "partial small subunit ribosomal RNA". Lineage: Eukaryota; Viridiplantae; Streptophyta; Magnoliopsida; Poales; Poaceae. The record is from RNAcentral.